Molecule: ribosomal RNA, 293 nt
Filed under: uncultured microorganism
Description: partial 16S ribosomal RNA
Rfam family: Bacterial small subunit ribosomal RNA
Source: RNAcentral
GUGCCAGCAGCCGCGGUAAUACGUAGGGACCAAGCGUUGUUCGGAUUUACUGGGCGUAAAGGGCGCGUAGGCGGCAGAUCAAGUCAGCUGUGAAAUCUCCGGGCUUAACUCGGAACGGUCAGCUGAUACUGUUUUGCUAGAGUGCAGAAGGGGCAAUCGGAAUUCUUGGUGUAGCGGUGAAAUGCGUAGAUAUCAAGAGGAACACCUGAGGUGAAGACGGGUUGCUGGGCUGACACUGACGCUGAGUGCGCGAAAGCCAGGGGAGCAAACGGGAUUAGAUACCCCGGUAGUCC